RNAcentral lists this ribosomal RNA (497 nucleotides) under uncultured bacterium. RNAcentral describes it as "partial 16S ribosomal RNA". It matches the Rfam family "Bacterial small subunit ribosomal RNA", at positions 28 to 507 of the family's 1533-position model. The record is from RNAcentral.
GAUGAACGCUGGCGGCGUGCCUAAUACAUGCAAGUCGAGCGAACAGACGAGGAGCUUGCUCCUCUGACGUUAGCGGCGGACGGGUGAGUAACACGUGGAUAAUCUACCUAUAAGACUGGGAUAACUUCGGGAAACCGGAGCUAAUACCGGAUAAUAUAUUGAACCGCAUGGUUCAAUAGUGAAAGACGGUUUUGCUGUCACUUAUAGAUGGAUCCGCGCCGCAUUAGCUAGUUGGUAAGGUAACGGCUUACCAAGGCAACGAUGCGUAGCCGACCUGAGAGGGUGAUCGGCCACACUGGAACUGAGACACGGUCCAGACUCCUACGGGAGGCAGCAGUAGGGAACCUUCCGCAAUGGGCGAAAGCCUGACGGAGCAACGCCGCGUGAGUGAUGAAGGUCUUCGGAUCGUAAAACUCUGUUAUUAGGGAAGAACAAAUGUGUAAGUAACUAUGCACGUCUUGACGGUACCUAAUCAGAAAGCCACGGCUAACUACGUG